UUGCGGUUAAAAAGCUCGUAGUUGGAGUUCUGCCAGGUGACGCUCGUCCGCCCAAGUGGUGUGUACAGGGCGUGCAUCUGGCCCUUUCAAGGGGAACGUGUUGCACAUUAUUGUGUGGCGCGAGAUCCUUGACUUUUACUUUGAGGAAAUAAGAGUGUUCCAAGCAGGCUCUCGUCGUGCAUAGCUCAGCAUGGAAUAAUAGCAUUGGACUUCGUUUCUACGCUGUUGGUUGCAAGAAGCGAGGUAAUGAUGAAGAGGGAUAGUUGGGGGCAUUCGUAUUUAACUGCCAGAGGUGAAAUUCUUGGAUUUGUCAAAGACGGACUACUGCGAAAGCAUCUGCCAUGGAUGUUUUCAUUGAUCAAGAACGAAAGUUAGGGGAUCGAAGACGAUCAGAUACCGUCCUAGUCUUAACUAUAAACCAUGCCGGCUAGAGAUCGGAGGUCGUUCAAUUUGUGACACCUUCAGCACCUUGAGAGAAAUCAAAGCCUUUGGGUUCCGGGGGGAGUAUGGUCGCAAGGCUGAAACUUAAAGGAAUUGACGGAAGGGCACCACCAGGAGUGGAGCCUGCGGCUUAAUUUGACUCAACAC
This 588-nucleotide ribosomal RNA is filed under the name uncultured marine eukaryote. RNAcentral describes it as "SSU rRNA". It matches the Rfam family "Eukaryotic small subunit ribosomal RNA", at positions 613 to 1206 of the family's 1831-position model. The record is from RNAcentral.